Long non-coding RNA from Gasterosteus aculeatus aculeatus (three-spined stickleback), 378 nucleotides. The record is from Ensembl. Lineage: Eukaryota; Metazoa; Chordata; Actinopteri; Perciformes; Gasterosteidae.
UAUAAAGCUAUAACCAAGACUCAAUCUCAACGCGUCAGACAGGCAGCUCCGGCUGUCAGUCCGACCCUCCGUCACCCGCAGAAAGAGAGAGAGCGUCAGUCAGGGUUAUGAGCGUAACGUGAGCGGUUCAUAGGAGAUCCUACCCGGUCAUUGCCAUCUUUUUCAUUUAGGGCCAUUGAACAGGAAGUGCCCAUAUGGGACUGGGGAGGACGUAAGGACGCUGUUUACGUCAAUCAGUGUGUAGCCCCGCCCUAAAGCGCCGCCUGCUUUAUGGUCUGUUUGACUCUAGGAAGGUAGGAAGGGAAGUAAGGGAGGGAGGGAAGAAGGUAGGAAGGGAGGGAGGAAGGGAAGUGUGAAGGGAGGGAGGAAGGUAGGAAG